This 253-nucleotide ribosomal RNA is filed under the name uncultured bacterium. Its description in RNAcentral is "partial 16S ribosomal RNA". It matches the Rfam family "Bacterial small subunit ribosomal RNA", at positions 524 to 776 of the family's 1533-position model. The record is from RNAcentral.
CACGUAGGGUGCGAGCGUUGUCCGGAAUUAUUGGGCGUAAAGAGCUCGUAGGCGGUCUGUCACGUCAACUGUGAAAACUCGGGGCUCAACCCCGAGCCUGCAGUCGAUACGGGCAGACUAGAGUUCGGCAGGGGAGACUGGAAUUCCUGGUGUAGCGGUGAAAUGCGCAGAUAUCAGGAGGAACACCGGUGGCGAAGGCGGGUCUCUGGGCCGAAACUGACGCUGAGGAGCGAAAGCGUGGGGAGCAAACAGG